AAGCUAGAUGAUGAGAAUGGAUUUUAACAUCUCACGACGGUCAUCUGAGAUGCUUACAGUGUCUAGGUCGAUACAAAUCCUAUCUCUGAUGGCU
Molecule: non-coding RNA, 94 nt
Organism: Musa acuminata subsp. malaccensis (wild Malaysian banana)
Lineage: Eukaryota; Viridiplantae; Streptophyta; Magnoliopsida; Zingiberales; Musaceae
Source: Rfam